Gambusia affinis (western mosquitofish) is the source of this 581-nucleotide long non-coding RNA. RefSeq lists it as uncharacterized. The record is from RefSeq and is a predicted model, not a curated record. Lineage: Eukaryota; Metazoa; Chordata; Actinopteri; Cyprinodontiformes; Poeciliidae. The transcript has 3 exons.
GAACAGAUUCACCUCCGUCACGGCGCCGUCGAGCCAGAAAACGGGUAAACUGCGGUGGCCGGUGAGGUCAUCGCUUCUUAUUAUGGCCUCAUCUAAACUCCGGAUCUCAGAAACGCAGGUCACGGCCAGGCUGAAGAAUGCGGCUGGGCAAUCUCCUAUCAUGUUCUCGAAUGCGUGCACGUCCAGACCGAAGUCCUACACAAACCCAAAGAGAGGAGGAGAGAAAGAGAGACGGGCCUUCAGUAGGGAACCAGUUACAGCCCAUUGGAGGUCUACUCACUCCACUGAUAGGUUAUAUGUGAGAGCAGAUCUAUGGUGCCGCAACCACACGGAUCAGAACCGACCAGCGGUGACCUACCUCUGUCCUUGGUAAGAAGUCUGGAUCCGCUUCGAUGCGGGCGAUGAUCUCACACAGGAUGAUGCCGUACGCGAACACAUCGACCUGAACCAAAGAGGAAAGCAGAAAGUCCAAACCGCAUCACAGCGACAUCAAACACAGGAACACAACCUCUGAGCCGGAGCGACGCCACAGCGCUGCGGUUCUGAGCUUCAGGAGACAUUUACAUGAUCGGCUCCUCACC